This is a non-coding RNA of Schistosoma haematobium, 72 nucleotides long. The record is from Rfam. NCBI's taxonomy places the organism in Eukaryota, Metazoa, Platyhelminthes, Trematoda, Strigeidida, Schistosomatidae.
GGGCCAAUGGUCUAGGGGUAUGAUACUCGCUUUGGGUGCGAGUGGUCUCAGGUUCGAGCCCUGGCUGGGCUA